CCUACGGGGGGCAGCAGUGGGGAAUAUUGGAUAAUGGGGGGAACCCUGAUCCAGCCAUGCCGCGUGUGUGAAGAAGGCCCUCGGGUUGUAAAGCACUUUCAGUGAGGAAGAACGCCUGGUGGUUAAUACCCAUCAGGAAAGACAUCACUCACAGAAGAAGCACCGGCUAACUCCGUGCCAGCAGCCGCGGUAAUACGGAGGGUGCGAGCGUUAAUCGGAAUUACUGGGCGUAAAGCGCGCGUAGGUGGCUUGAUAAGCCGGUUGUGAAAGCCCCGGGCUCAACCUGGGAACGGCAUCCGGAACUGUCAAGCUAGAGUGCAGGAGAGGAAGGUAGAAUUCCCGGUGUAGCGGUGAAAUGCGUAGAGAUCGGGAGGAAUACCAGUGGCGAAGGCGGCCUUCUGGACUGACACUGACACUGAGGUGCGAAAGCGUGGGUAGCAAACAGGAUUAGAUACCCUAGUAGUC
Molecule: ribosomal RNA, 465 nt
Filed under: Vreelandella stevensii
Lineage: Bacteria; Pseudomonadati; Pseudomonadota; Gammaproteobacteria; Oceanospirillales; Halomonadaceae
Description: partial 16S ribosomal RNA
Rfam family: Bacterial small subunit ribosomal RNA
Source: RNAcentral